RNAcentral lists this unclassified non-coding RNA (427 nucleotides) under fungal sp. Its description in RNAcentral is "partial internal transcribed spacer region". The stretch from base 1 to 46 matches the Rfam family "Eukaryotic small subunit ribosomal RNA", at positions 1786 to 1831 of the family's 1831-position model. The record is from RNAcentral. Lineage: Eukaryota; Fungi.
AAGUCGUAACAAGGUAACCGUAGGUGAACCUGCGGUUGGAUCAUUAGCGUUUUUAGCAGCGCGCCGUUGUUGUGACCGUUUGUGGAGGGUAGUGUUUUGUGUGUGGUGUUUGUCUUGUGUUUUGUCGUUUGUCUUUUGGUUGGUGUUUGUCGUUUGACUUGUCGUUUGUCGUUUGACUUGUCGUUUGUCUUGUCGUUUGUGUUUCAUCUAUAUUUAUAUCUAUAUCUAUAUCUAUGACCACCUCGACAUGGACAUCGACAACCACAUCGUCAACCACAAACCUCAUGGACAUGGACAACCACAAACCUCAUGGACAGCCACUUCCAAAACUGAAACACGACUCUCGACUACACGCCAAUAAACACUUUUCUUUGCUUUGAUUUCGACUAAACUAAAACAACUUUUGACAACGGAUCUCUUGGCUCUC